GUCGGGAUAGCUGCAGA
RNAcentral lists this transfer RNA (17 nucleotides) under Phelipanche ramosa. RNAcentral's name for it is "partial tRNA-Phe". The record is from RNAcentral. Lineage: Eukaryota; Viridiplantae; Streptophyta; Magnoliopsida; Lamiales; Orobanchaceae.